AAAUAUAUACACACAGCACACAGUCACAUGAUACACAGUAACAGGUAUACACACAGCACACAGUCACAUGAUACACAGUAACUGGUAUACACACAGCACACAGUCACAUGAUACACAGUAACAGGUAUGCACACAGUCACAUGAUACACAGUAACAGGUAUGCACACAGCACACAGUCACAUGAUACACAGUAACAGGUAUGCACACAGCACACAGUCACAUGAUACACAGUAACAGGUAUACACACAGCACACUGUCACAUGAUACACAGUAACAGGUAUACACACAGUCACAUGAUACACAGUAACAGGUAUACACACAGUCACAUGAUACACAGUAACAGGUAUGCACACAGCACACAGUCACAUGAUACACAGUAACAGGUAUACACACUGUCACAUGAUACACAGUAACAGGUAUACACACUGUCACAGGAUACACAGUAACAUGAUACACACAGCACACAGUCACAUAAUACACAGUAACAGGUAUACGCACAGUCACAUGAUACACAGUAACAGGUAUACACACAGCACACUGUCACAUGAUACACAGUAACAGGUAUACGCACAGCACACUGUCACAUGAUACACAGUAACAGGUAUGCACACAGUCACAUGAUACACAGUAACAGGUAUACGCACAGUCACAUGAUACACAGUAACAGGUAUACGCACAGUCACAUGAUACACAGUAACAGGUAUACGCACAGUCACAUGAUACACAGUAACAGGUAUACACACAGCACACUGUCACAUGAUACACAAUAACAGGUAUACACACAGCACACUGUCACAUGAUACACAGUAACAGGUAUACGCACAGUCACAUGAUACACAGUAACAGUCACAUGAUACACAGUAACCGGUAUACACACAGCACACAGUCACAUGAUACACAGUAACAGGUAUACACACAGCACACAGUCACAUGAUUCACAGUAACAGGUAUACACACAGCACACAGUUACAGGAUACACAGUAACCGGUAUACGCACAGGAUACACAGUCACAUGAUACACAGUAACAGGUAUACACACAGUUACAGGAUACACAGUAACAGGUAUACACACAGCACACAGUCACAUGAUACACAGUAACAGGUAUGCACACAGUUACAGGAUACAUAGUCACAAGUAUGCACACAGUCACAUGAUACACAGUAACAGGUAUACACACAGCACACUGUCACAUGAUACACAGUAACAGGUAUACACACAGCACACAGUCACAUGAUACACAGUAACAGGUAUACACACAGCACACAGUCACAUGAUUCACAGUAACAGGUAUACACACAGCACACAGUUACAGGAUACACAGUAACAGGUAUACACACAGCACACAGUCACAUGAUACACAGUCAUAGGUAUACACACAGCACACAGUCACAUGAUACACAGUAACAGGUAUGCACACAGUUACAGGAUACAUAGUCACAGGUAUGCACACAGCACACAGUCACAUGAUACACAGUAACAGGUAUACACACAGCACACUGUCACAUGAUACACAGUAACAGGUAUACGCACAGGAUACACAGUCACAUGAUACACAGUAACAGGUAUACACACAGUCACAGGAUACACAGUAACAGGUAUACACACAGCACACAAUCACAUGAUACACAGUAAAAGAUAUACACACAGCACACAGUCACAUGAUACACAGUAAAAGAUAUACACACAGCACACAGUCACAUCAUACACAGUAACAGGUAUACGCACAGUCACAUGAUACACAGUAACAGGUAUACACACAGCACACUGUCACAUGAUACACAGUAACAGGUAUACACACAGCACACUGUCACAUGAUACACAGUAACAGGUAUACACACAGCACACUGUCACAUGAUACACAGUAACAGGUAUGCACACAGCACACAGUCACAUGAUACACAGUAACAGGUAUACACACAGCACACUGUCACAUGAUACACAGUAACAGGUAUGCACACAGCACACAGUCACAUGAUACACAGUAACAGGUAUACGCACAGCACACUGUCACAUGAUACACAGUAACAGGUAUACGCACAGCACACAGUCACAUGAUACACAGUAACAGGUAUACACACAGCACACUGUCACAUGAUACACAGUAACAGGUAUGCACACAGCACACUGU
This is a long non-coding RNA of Bombina bombina (fire-bellied toad), 2129 nucleotides long. RefSeq lists it as uncharacterized. The record is from RefSeq and is a predicted model, not a curated record. NCBI's taxonomy places the organism in Eukaryota, Metazoa, Chordata, Amphibia, Anura, Bombinatoridae. The transcript is spliced from 4 exons.